Molecule: long non-coding RNA, 661 nt
Organism: Hipposideros armiger (great roundleaf bat)
Lineage: Eukaryota; Metazoa; Chordata; Mammalia; Chiroptera; Hipposideridae
Exons: 5
Source: RefSeq, a predicted model, not a curated record
GCUGCCAUCAGACUGGCCUAGCCGUUAAUGCUCAGAACGGGGCCCAGGGCUUCCUGCUUGGCUGCUAUGUCUGCCUCAGGGGUGCACCGCUUGUCCUCCCAGCUCUGGCCACAGAAGGAGAGCACCUAGCAGGGGGCGGAGCAUGGCCACUGCAAGAUGAGCUUCACAUCCCAGGUAACUAGAGCAGAAGUCCUCAGCUCGUCAUCUCCCCAGAUCUUUUACUCAACCCAGUUUCCAGCUGACACAGUCCACGGUGACACACACUUCACAGUGACACAUAGUCCACGGGCAGUAUGGAGAUGGGGAAGGGGAUCCUACAGGAAGGGGAGGUGAAGAGAAUGGAGCAGCUAGAAUUUGAGCUCCACAGUCAGCACCGCUAAAUCUUUCCUCCCUGAAGCUUUCCUGAAGCAGCACUUCGAGGCUAUGGAGUUGGAGGGUGGCGACCCUGAGCCUGGAGACCUCUUCCUGUUCAGGCUGAUGUCCCCCACUGGACACUGGUGCAGGGGCCCACGUAGGCAUGUACUGCAGCCACGGAGAGAGUAUCCACUUCGAGGGUGUCAGUCAAUGUGGACUUGACCUUGGUGGACUACAGCUGACCUCAGGUCCUCCAGUGUGGGUAUGGGGGCUUCAGAAAUGGUCAUUAAAUUUUUCCGGAGGUGAA